UACGUAGGGUGCAAGCGUUGUCCGGAAUUAUUGGGCGUAAAGAGCUCGUAGGCGGUUUGUCGCGUCUGCUGUGAAAACUCGGGGCUUAACUCCGGGCCUGCAGUGGGUACGGGCAGACUAGAGUGCGGUAGGGGAGACUGGAAUUCCUGGUGUAGCGGUGAAAUGCGCAGAUAUCAGGAGGAACACCGGUGGCGAAGGCGGGUCUCUGGGCCGUAACUGGCGCUGAGGAGCGAAAGCGUGGGGAGCGAACAGG
Molecule: ribosomal RNA, 253 nt
Filed under: uncultured bacterium
Lineage: Bacteria
Description: partial 16S ribosomal RNA
Rfam family: Bacterial small subunit ribosomal RNA
Source: RNAcentral